GGAUUGUGGCUCAGUGGUAUUGUGCUCACCUCGCGCAUGUGAGGCCCUGGGUUCGAUUCUCAGCACCA
RNAcentral lists this transfer RNA (68 nucleotides) under Marmota monax (woodchuck). Its description in RNAcentral is "tRNA.Ala". The record is from RNAcentral. Lineage: Eukaryota; Metazoa; Chordata; Mammalia; Rodentia; Sciuridae.